AAGUGGAGAAGGGUUCCAUGUGAACAGCAGCAGUUGAACAUGGGUCAGUCGGUCCUAAGGGAUGGGCGAAAGCCGUUCGGAAGGGAGGGGCGAUGGCCUCCGUCGCCCCCAGUCGAUCGAAAGGGAAUCGGGUUCAGAUCCCCGAACCCGGAGUGGCGGAGACGGGCGCCGCUCGGCGCCCAGUGCGGUAACGCAAACGAACCCGGAGAAGCUGGCGGGGGCCCCGGGAAGAGUUCUCUUUUCUUUGUGAAGGGCCGGGCACCCUGGAAUGGGUUCGUCCCGAGAUAGGGGCCCACGCCCUGGAAAGCGCCGCGGUUCCGGCGGCGUCCGGUGAGCUCUCGUCGGCCCUUGAAAAUCCGGGGGAGAAGGUGUAAGUCUCGCGCCGGGCCGUACCCAUAUCCGCAGCAAGGUCUCCAAGGUGAACAGCCUCUGGCGUGUUAGAACAAGGCAGCGUAAGGGAAGUCGGCAAGUCAGAUCCGUAACUUCGGGAUAAGGAUUGGCUCU
RNAcentral lists this ribosomal RNA (504 nucleotides) under Tor khudree (Deccan mahseer). RNAcentral's name for it is "eukaryotic LSU rRNA". It matches the Rfam family "Eukaryotic large subunit ribosomal RNA", at positions 1494 to 1955 of the family's 3401-position model. Lineage: Eukaryota; Metazoa; Chordata; Actinopteri; Cypriniformes; Cyprinidae. The record is from RNAcentral.